This 240-nucleotide long non-coding RNA is filed under the name Theobroma cacao (cacao). RNAcentral describes it as "long non-coding RNA (TCAC_LNC005115)". The record is from RNAcentral. Lineage: Eukaryota; Viridiplantae; Streptophyta; Magnoliopsida; Malvales; Malvaceae.
UGGAGUAUUCUUUCUAUCGAAGCAAGUAGCUCUCUUUUGUUUGAGAACCGUAUUAUUGGUUCUUCUUGCCAUUUCCAUUAAGGUAGCAAAAGUUGGAAGAGGUAAAUUCUGCUAGUGUAGCCUACACUCGUCAAACAUUUUUUUUGAAUGCAAAUCGUCACCAACUCCUUCUCAUCAUAAGACUCUUGUAUAUCCAACACCCUUUCUCUAAAGUGUUAGAUGUAUUCCAUGAGGUCUUCU